CUGAAUCUGGGGAGAGAAAACAAAAAUAAGAGAAAUGGAGCAGAUUAAUGGAAGGAGGAUAAAACCCAUGAGUGACCAAAACCUCAACAGUAAUUUCCAAAACAACUAAAGAAACAUUAGAGGAACUUACGCAGAACUGAUACAUAAACGUCCCAAGGAAGAAAGACCACCUUCUUCCCAGUGAGACUUCAGUGGGAUUUGACUUUACCAUCCUAAUGGAGUAGAUCUGCAUCUCACUGCUUCAGCUGCAAAAGACCUGGGGUUACUUGGUCUGCACACAGACCCCUGCAAUCCCUUCCCACAGACAGGAACUGUCUAACAUAUGGCUCCAGUGGAAGAAUUUUUGGGGUAAAGGCUGCAGGGAAGCUGGGGAGCCAGGGAGGAGGAUAAGGUUCCAAUUAUCUUUAAUUAUCUAUUUUGGAAAAACAGAGUUUGGGCUUAUGUGAUGCAGAGGGCCUUAGGCAAAAUUCAUCCUCACAUAAAGGCUACCAGAUUAGGGAAUGUUUAUUUAAAAAGGGAAAGACUGUUUGUUCUGCUCUGCUAUUUUGCUGCCCUAACAGCUAUGCAUGCAGAGCAGGCAAGGAAGUGAAAGCAGCUAUGACAAUAGCCAGGGUAGCAACUGAAGCCCCCAGACACUGUACUCUGUAGCACUUGAACAACCAGGAUAAAGAAUAGAGCCUAAAUCUGGAAAGAAAAACAGAAACAAAACUCAAACCAAAGCAACCCCCCCAUGCCUCCCAUGAAAAUAAUGAGCCCUCAACUACAAUACUUAGCCAUACUUCAGGAAGAACAGCGCUAAAAAAAAAACAUGUUGAGAAUCAACACUGUGAAUUGCUGGCAGUAAAUGUUAUUAAUCAUCACCAGCAAAUGUUAUUGAAACUAUUCACAGCUCUGAGAAGGAGUGGGGUGGGGGGGGAAGAAUAUAACAAAAUAAUAUAGGUUUCAGUUUCUCCCCCUACAAAAUGGGGAAGAGACAACACUCAUGCACAUUUCCUUGUGGUGUUCUGACAUGUUGUACACAUUGAAACCUGGUUCUCGUGCAGUAUCACUACAGCAUGUCCUGUAUUACUUUAUUUCACUGCUCUUACCACCUCCAGCACACAGUGGUCAGGCUUCAUCACUGCACCCACUAGCAACAAUGCAAACGGAUACAAGGAGUCCAACACAGAAUUACAAGAGGAAAAAUCUGCCCAUUUAAAGUGCAGAAAGUGAGCAGAAAUAUUGAAUAGUUUUUAAUAAACCACUUGCAACUGCAUGCAAAAGUAGGACAGAAAAGGCAUUGUCCUGCAGGACUAGAAUGGCCCUUGUUAGCUGUGGAUGGCAUUGCACCCAGUUUCUGGUCUGUCCCAGCCUGACCAACCAAGCACAGCCAAGAGCAGGCUAGCUCAAGAGGGCUUGUAAGAAAAGCCUCCUCCCUGGCUACUGAGUGCCAGAAAUCCCAGCACUGCAACUCCCAAAUGCAUCUAGCCACCCAACAUGGUGUGGGGGAGAAAGAUCCCACAGACCCCAGCAUUGAUUGAUGUACAUCCCCAGUCCCCAUCGGCCUGAGAACAGAGCAAACAGAUGUGCAGAAGCUGGAUUUCCAAGGUGAUGUAGGCACUAGGUGGAAGGUACUAGCUCUCAUUCUCUCUUCUUCUAUCCCCUGUCAAAACUUCCUGACCUGGUAAAGACAAGAGGAGCUCAUCAGAACUACAAGAGCCUGCUGAAGCACUGAAGAGCAAACCACUCACCAGCUGCCCCUGAGUGAUGUACUUCUUCCACCACAGAUAAGGACGCAUUGCUGGAACAGCAGACAAUCCGUAGUAGGAGUACAUGAGGACAUGGAUAAAGCUGUUCAGUGUGGCACCAAAGUAAGCUAAAAAAAGGGCAAGGGAAAAAGAAAGUACACUACAUUACCAGGAAGGAACAUGCUGUUUCAUGGAACCUACAAAAAUAACAAGUUCAAAAUGUUACUAUUUAAAAUAUGAUUUCUCUUAGAAGAAAAGCAAGACGGUUCUUUUUUUACCCUGUUUUUUAUUCUCCCUACCCAAUGGACUAGCUGAGCUGCUUUGCAGCUUUGUGCUUUACACCAGCCUUCUGGUUUUGUUUCCUCAAAUUACUCUUUUUUUACAACUAUAUCAUAGUUUCUCAAGGGAAAUGAGGAAACUGAUAAAAAGGAGGAAUGCUCACGUACCAACCAAUCAAUAGCUUCGCCCAUCUACUUUUAGGCUGAUUUCACUUCCUUCCAGGCAGGAGCCAAUUUUUAAAUUUAUAACCAAAAAGCUUCAGAUACCUUCAGAAACUGCAAGUUAGCUAUUUUAUUUGCCCUUGUUUACAGCAUCUUUAGUCACUAAAGAAACUUCUAGCUUAACACCGAACUGCACUGAGCUGUGAUUACAUAACAGAACAUAAAGCUUGGAAGAAGAAAAACACAUGACUAGAAAUAGUACAAAAGUGUUUUCAAGACCACAUGAGCACAAGAUAGAUUCUACACAGACACAGUUUUGACUGCUGUAUGAACAAGGACUGACUUCCUUG
Passer domesticus (house sparrow) is the source of this 2517-nucleotide long non-coding RNA. RefSeq lists it as uncharacterized. Lineage: Eukaryota; Metazoa; Chordata; Aves; Passeriformes; Passeridae. The record is from RefSeq and is a predicted model, not a curated record. The transcript has 2 exons.